UUCAAUUUGAGGCGAGUGAAGUGGGAAGAGAAACAACAAAAAACAACGCUAAGCAAGCAUUUCUAUAUAAUGAAUAAUACAAUUUAAAAAAAAAAUCCCCAACACAGACACACACACAAAACACUCUCUAAAGCCGCAUGUGUAUAAAAAAAAAGUUAAUGAACGCGAAAUGUUUGAUGGAGAGAGAACUGCUUUUAGGGGGCAAAACGAACAUCUGAUUCAAAGCAUAUGAUAACCGAAAAGGCAGAAGAAGUCACCUAAAACUCGUGUGAUAUUUACUCUAAUCAGCUGGAUUUCUUCAUUAAAAGAGCACAGCUAUACGCUCUACGGAAAAAUAUUGCAGCUGGAGCGAGUGCUACAAUACAAAUAAUUCUCGGAGGAGUUUUACUCAAUGAAUUUCACUUUUCACGCUCAGUUUACAAGUGUCUGAUAUUUCCUUUUUAUAUGUAAUACAUGGCAUCAAUUUUCUCAGACAGUA
This is a long non-coding RNA of Drosophila obscura, 478 nucleotides long. RefSeq lists it as uncharacterized. Lineage: Eukaryota; Metazoa; Arthropoda; Insecta; Diptera; Drosophilidae. The transcript has 2 exons. The record is from RefSeq and is a predicted model, not a curated record.